This is a long non-coding RNA of Xiphias gladius (swordfish), 1048 nucleotides long. RefSeq lists it as uncharacterized. NCBI's taxonomy places the organism in Eukaryota, Metazoa, Chordata, Actinopteri, Istiophoriformes, Xiphiidae. The transcript is spliced from 4 exons. The record is from RefSeq and is a predicted model, not a curated record.
ACACCACCUCCUCCCCCUCCUUCCACCCCCAUGCAAACAAAAGUGAAGCCUGGCUUCCCAUUGAACAACUGACUGAUAUGCAAAGGAGGAUUUCCUGGCUUUCUUGAGAGCAUCCACUUUACCAGGCAGACCGCGCUGUGACACAUAGCUCAGUCCAGCCAAAAACUGCAGCCCACUUCAGCAGGCAGACUGAACCCUGGGGAGGAAAACUUUCACGGCGGCUGUGUGUUUCACCUCACUCAUAUGAGCGACCGGAGGAAAACAAUUUAUCAUUUCAUUAGCAGAGCAUUUCAGUUUCCCUCUAACCUUGACCCAGCUACAGAAGCAGCUCCUAUCGAUACAAAAAGAGAAACACAGGGCUUGUGAUAUACUGUGACCUCUCACCCCAGAGCCAGAUCCUACCCAUGAUUCAGCUGGAGGCCUUGUCUUGCCUGGUUUAUCGCCCGUAGUGAAGGAUAACAUUCGGGAAGCUGCGACCCCACAGCGAAGUCACUGGUGAGGUCAUCACUGAGGUCUUGUGCCCACUUGACCAUAAAAUCAAUCAGGAUUUAUCAUCUGAGUUUUGGGUCUGGUCAAACUGUUAUGGAAGUGAUCUUACUUCCACUUCCACUUACUUUUAUACCUUAUGGUGAGCUCACAUGCAGGGAAACAUAAAGACACAUUCUGUACACGAAUAUAGGCAAGGCUUCUGGUUACCCAUAUGAUUAGAUAAGAUCAACUUUAUUGAUCCCCUCGCACGGAAAUUGGAGAAACAGAUCAUACUGAGCAUACGGAUGGUUGGCAAAGGAGUGUAUUAUACAACAUGUUCGAGAAAUUCUUGUGGUUGUUUUGAUACUUUUUUCUUUCCACAAUGAAAGCUUGUCAACAUAGGAAUCUGCUUUAACAGAAUGAAUUCAAGCUGCUGUUGUCUGUCUGCUAGGAAACUACAAACUUUUAACAGCCACCUUUGAAGCCUAAAGGGAGUGAGAGUUUGGUACAUUGUACUUGUGGCAUUUUGUUUGCUGUCUUGUCAUUGCUUUCAUAUGAACAAACACUUGUUAUUGGGAUU